GGGCCCGUAGUUCACCUGGUAGAACAUCUCAUUUGCAAUGAGAAGGUAGGCAGUUCGAGUCUGCCCGGGUCCA
RNAcentral lists this transfer RNA (73 nucleotides) under Patescibacteria group bacterium. RNAcentral's name for it is "tRNA-Ala". It matches the Rfam family "tRNA". Rfam says of the family: Transfer RNA (tRNA) molecules are approximately 80 nucleotides in length. Their secondary structure includes four short double-helical elements and three loops (D, anti-codon, and T loops). The record is from RNAcentral.